Long non-coding RNA from Toxotes jaculatrix (banded archerfish), 1288 nucleotides. RefSeq lists it as uncharacterized. The transcript is spliced from 3 exons. The record is from RefSeq and is a predicted model, not a curated record. Lineage: Eukaryota; Metazoa; Chordata; Actinopteri; Toxotidae.
GUCACAACCGCCUCAGCCUCCGUCUCGCACGUCUGUCUGUUAACCAUGACCUCUGCAGCGCUCGCCUCCUGGCUGUGCAAACCCCAUGUAGAGAGACCCAUGCGUGGCCCGGGUGGACACAGCUGGCUGAGGGUGUGACUAACACGGGUCAGUAUUUUAGAACUGAAGCUGCUAUUUAACAAUUAUUAUCUCCGUUGCUUUCUCUCUGUCUUGUAACAAGGUGACAUCCGGAUAAAAUGUUUCUAACUCUGAUUCACACAAAUUGUGGCUUGAAGAUUCCCUUCAUCAAAGAUAAUUUACCAAGAUUUGAUCACAGUAGUUUUUUUUUGUUUUUUUUUCCCGAGGUUGAUGCCAACAUAGAAUCGUGCUCUUACCAGUUGGUAUGGGGUGCAGAAGACCUCGGAGCCUGUGAGGCCGCAGGUGGAGGAGGCCUGGAGCUGCUGAACCCUGCCCACAAGCAGGUCAUUGCUGGGAUAAAAAGGAAAAUCUACAGAAUUCAUGGUCCCUGAAGAUGAAUCCUAAUAACUUUGGUGAUCACUGAAGCUCCCUGAUGUUAGCAUUCAGCUCAAAGCACUAGCAUGGCUGCAAACUCUUAAACUGAAACACACACUGAGUAAGUCCGGGGUGUGUCCUCUGACUCAGCUAACACACACAUUGGCCACUGUGAACAGACUUCGGACAAGUACUGUCACGCCUUCGAUUGCUCUGGAUGGUACUGUAGCUGUGAGUUAUUUCUGCCUGUGGUCUCCUGUCUUUCAACACCAGCCUUUGUUCGGAGUGACAUGGAGCCAAAGCUGCUUUAUUGGAUUCGCUGGUAUCAUAAGGUGGCAAACAUCACUACAGAAGCAAAAAAUUAAAAAAUAAAAUCCACUGAAAAGAGUGAGGAAAUAAAGCUUUACUUUACACACGUAGGACACUUUGAGUAACAGGCAUAUGACAGCCUGAGUUUUCCAAACAGCAUUUAAAGGCCUGAGGAAAAAGAUUCUCUGGUAUGAGGUAAAACCUGAACCCUUUGGACAGAACUCAAAAAUCUUCCCUAUGGUGAAGCAUGAUGGUGGCAGUGGGGGGUGACAGGCAGUCACAAACGCCAGAGAAAUAGGUGGUGGUGUCAGUAUGCUGGAAAAUACAGAUGUGAUGUAAUAAAGCAGUGCUUUGACAUAGCGUCCUGCCUCAUCAAUACCAAGAGUAAAUGAUGAAAAAAAUGAGUUUAAACACGAGUAGCCUUCACUUCCCAGAAGUCUUCCAGCAGAGUUUGAAGGACUGCUUGCUUGCCAUAGCAGAAGAAGAU